UGGGGAUUAUUGGACAAUGGGCGAAAGCCUGAUCCAGCCAUGCCGCGCGUGUGAAGAAGGUCUUCGGAUUGUAAAGCACUUUAAGUUGGGAGGAAGGGCAGUAAGCGAAUACCUUGCUGUUUUGACGUUACCGACAGAAUAAGCACCGGCUAACUCUGUGCCAGCAGCCGCGGUAAUACAGAGGGUGCAAGCGUUAAUCGGAAUUACUGGGCGUAAAGCGCGCGUAGGUGGUUCGUUAAGUUGAAUGUGAAAGCCCCGGGCUCAACCUGGGAACUGCAUCCAAAACUGGCGAGCUAGAGUAGGGCAGAGGGUGGUGGAAUUUCCUGUGUAGCGGUGAAAUGCGUAGAUAUAGGAAGGAACACCAGUGGCGGAGGCGACCACCUGGGCUCAUACUGACUCUGAGGUGCGAACGCGUGGGGAGCAAACAGG
This 429-nucleotide ribosomal RNA is filed under the name Pseudomonadota bacterium. Its description in RNAcentral is "Proteobacteria bacterium partial 16S ribosomal RNA". It matches the Rfam family "Bacterial small subunit ribosomal RNA", at positions 355 to 776 of the family's 1533-position model. Lineage: Bacteria; Pseudomonadati; Pseudomonadota. The record is from RNAcentral.